This 458-nucleotide ribosomal RNA is filed under the name uncultured bacterium. RNAcentral's name for it is "partial 16S ribosomal RNA". It matches the Rfam family "Bacterial small subunit ribosomal RNA", at positions 338 to 795 of the family's 1533-position model. The record is from RNAcentral.
CCUACGGGUGGCAGCAGUGGGGAAUAUUGCACAAUGGGCGCAAGCCUGAUGCAGCGACGCCGCGUGCGGGAUGGAGGCCUUCGGGUUGUAAACCGCUUUUGUUCGAGGGCAAGGCACGGUCUUUGGCCGUGUUGAGUGGAUUGUUCGAAUAAGCACCGGCUAACUUCGUGCCAGCGGCCGCGGUAAUACGUAGGGUGCAAGCGUUUUCCGGGUUUAUUGGGCGUAAAGGGGUCGUAGGCGGUACGUCGCGUCCGGUGUGAAAGUUCAUCGCGUAACGGUGUUUCCGCGGCGGGUACUGGGGGGCUUGAGUGCGCGAGGGGAGAAUGGAAUGCCUGGUGUAACGGUGGAAUGUGUAGAUAUCGGGAAGAACACCAAUUGCGAAGGCAGGUCUCUGGGGCGCUACUGACGCUGAGGAGCGAAAGCGUGGGGAGCGAACAGGAUUAGAUACCCCGGUAGUC